AACGUUGCGAAAACGAACCAGGCAAAUAUGGAAACGUGGGUACUGUGUAGUGCGUUUACUCCAUUAUAGUAAGCGAAAUUGAUUUAAAAAGGAUACUAGAUUUAGUUCUAUGUGAAUGUAUUAAGUUAUGUGUGUUUAGAUUACUGUAUAAAACGCCAGUGUUAUUUUAACCAUGGCACUUUAUAUGAAAGCGGCAGAGAUUCUUGAGAAAGUGGAGCAGAAAAAGGGUGCUGUGAAAACUCUGGUUUAUGACAGUAAAUUUCAAAAUAUCAAGCAACUCUUUGCACUUGUGUGUGAAACACAGAAAUACUCAUCAGUUCUGCAGGAGAUCAUCGACAGCACCAAGCUUCUGAAAGAAACAAAACUCCGGAUCUAUUUAGCCAAAGUUCUGGUGUAUGACCUGCUCAUUGGUCAUGGGGUGAAAUGUGGAGGUGCCUGGAAGACGAUGAUGUUGAAGCAUCGCUCCAGAUUACAAUCUGCCCUGGCAAGGAUCAAAGUCAAGAGGAAAGUGAGUCGAAAUCAGGACCUGCUGCCCUCCAGUUUCCAGCAGACUCAGGAUAAUGUAAUUCCACGCUAUGUGCGAGUGAACACGCUGAAAACAACUCUUGAUGAUGUCAUUGACUAUUUAAAAAGAGAGGGAUUUUCAUAUCAAGGAACAGCAAUGUGCCUCGAGGAUCUCGAUCAUCUGACUGGGAAGACAUUUCUGUGUGAUCUUCAUCUCAAAGAUCUUCUGGUUUUCAGUGCAAAGACAGACUUCCACAAUCACUUCCUUUAUAAAGCAGGACACAUUAUAUUGCAGGACAAGGCCAGCUGUCUUCCCGCUUUCCUCCUAAACCCUCCUGUUGGUGGUCACGUCAUCGAUGCCUGUGCAGCUCCAGGGAACAAAACCAGCCAUCUAGCUGCCAUAAUGAAAAAUAAAGGGAAGUUGUUUGCCUUUGAUCUUGAUGCAAAACGCCUGUCCACCAUGAGCACUCUUCUCCUUCGUGCUGGGGUCACGUGUCAUCAGCUGGCCAAUCAGGAUUUUCUGAAAGUAGAUCCACAGAGUUCAGAGUACAAGGAAGUCGAGUACAUCCUUCUGGACCCCUCCUGCAGUGGAUCAGGGAUGGUUUGUCUACGAGAUGAGGUCUCAGAGCCGCAGGAGGACGGGCGUCUGCAGGCGCUGGCUGCGUUUCAGCUGCACUGUCUCAACCAUGCGCUGCAGUUCCCUCAGGUACAGCGCGUCGUCUAUUCCACCUGCUCCAUUCACCCACAGGAGAACGAGGAGGUUGUGUCGGCCUGCUUACAGCAGAACCCUGGAUUCAGACUAGUACAUCUUCUUCCAAAUUGGCAUGAGAGGGGUCACGAUCCUUUCACCCAGUGCCUUCGUGCAAGCACAGAAAAAACACGGACUCAUGGGUUCUUUGUGGCCAUGCUGGAGAGAUGUCCCCCACAGACAGAUGGAGAGAACCUCCCAAUGAUCACAACAAUGCCGUCUAGUGGUGAGGAAAAGCAGGACAUACCACAAUCCAGCCCAUCUGACGAGGAACAAGAAAACACACAGACUGCAAACGAACAACCUGCAAAUCCAAGCUCAAAGAAGAGGAGAAGAAACCGAAAGAAAAACAAAAAGCAAGAACCCUAAAGUUAUAGAGGACUAUAUGUAUGGUGACAAUGAAAGCAAUCUCUGCUCGGCUAAGACAUUUAGAAAUGUGGGAAUUAUGUCAUGCAUUGAACACAACAGAAAUCCACAGCAAAUCAACUUUCCAUUUUUAUUCAAAACCAGCAUGUCAUUAUCAGAGCAUUUAAGCAGACACAACACAAUCUGUGUGCCGCUUCAUUCAGAACUCCACUCACGCUUUGAGGGUUAGUGGGAAUGGUCAUUUACACACAAACUGUGAGCAUUCGCUUAUAGCAUUGUCUGAAAAACAUACAACUACGUACAACAGCCCUCAAACAUUCACAGCUUGAGAUAUCCAGCUCUCAUCUCAAUGCACAUCUCAUUUUCUCAACACAGUCUACACGUCUCACUUGUAUUUGGUACGGCUUUCUAAUAAACAGAAAGCCUGGUCCCAUGCCUCUUUGCAUCAGUCUGGACAUGAGAAUACUUCAAAAAUGUGAUUAGAAAUUAUGUUAACCUACAUGAGGAAUGGCAUGCAAAGGGGGACUGGGAUGGCUACGUCGUUGUAAAAACACUCGCCGUCCCUACUUAAGUGGAUUUUUCAGGUCAAAAAAUUCUAUGGGGGUGAACAAAAAUACAAUAAACCUCUAGAAAUCAA
Molecule: RNA transcript, 2255 nt
Organism: Megalobrama amblycephala (Wuchang bream)
Lineage: Eukaryota; Metazoa; Chordata; Actinopteri; Cypriniformes; Xenocyprididae
Gene: nsun5
Gene name: NOP2/Sun RNA methyltransferase 5
Exons: 11
Source: RefSeq, a predicted model, not a curated record